UUAUAAUCUAUAUUUUAUUUAAUAUUAAUGAAAAAAUAGUUAAAUAGAAAAAAAUUUAGAAUAAAAACAUUAUCAACCAAGUAAUAUAAACAUAAAUCAUCUAUUUAUUCUUGUUUUUUAUUUGAAAUUAUGAAAUUUCAAUUAUACUAGAUUUAACGGAUGUUUUGCCAUCUUAAAUGAUGAUAUACAAAGAUAGACUAACUUCUCAAGCCUGCCUAAUGUAGAAAGGCUUUAAGAAUGAGUCUGGUUGAAAAAAGGAGUAAUACACAAAAAAUAGUCCAGAAGAAAAUGUAGCAAGUAUAUAAUUUUUACUUAGAUUCUUAUUUUUAUAUUGACUGAUAGAGAUUAUAAGAAAGCUCAAGCCGCUGGUAUAGAAUAUAUAUAAUUUAUAGUGCAAUUUCUGAUGGACAGUUUGUUUUUAUGUAUGGGUAGCCCUCAUCUUAAGAACAGCAAUGAUAAAUUCUGUGAUUGGUCUUUGCAGUUGGCAGAGGGUCCGUCGAUCAUCAUUUCGGUAUUAAGUCCUCGAGUAAUAGUCCGAUAUAUAAAAAAAAUCAUUUUUGUGUCCGAUUCUUUUAUUUUUGUGUUUGUUAAAUUUAUUAUGAUAGAAGUGGAGUGUAAUAAUAAAUAUUGGAAUGGAC
RNAcentral lists this long non-coding RNA (638 nucleotides) under Androctonus crassicauda. The record is from RNAcentral. Lineage: Eukaryota; Metazoa; Arthropoda; Arachnida; Scorpiones; Buthidae.